RNAcentral lists this ribosomal RNA (167 nucleotides) under uncultured Actinomycetes bacterium. RNAcentral describes it as "uncultured actinobacterium partial 16S ribosomal RNA". It matches the Rfam family "Bacterial small subunit ribosomal RNA", at positions 1164 to 1330 of the family's 1533-position model. The record is from RNAcentral. Lineage: Bacteria; Bacillati; Actinomycetota; Actinomycetes.
CGGAGGAAGGUGGGGAUGACGUCAAGUCCUCAUGCCCCUUAUGUCUUGGGCUGCAAACAUGCUACAAUGGCCAGUACAAAGGGUUGCGAGACCGCAAGGUGGAGCGAAUCCCAAAAAGCCGGUCUCAGUUCGGAUUGAGGUCUGCAACUCGACCUCAUGAAGUCGGA